GACCAGCUCCAUCCUCUUGACACCCACCCUCUAAGUAUUUAUAGGUGUUGAUCAGAUCCCCCCUCAGUCUUGUCUUCUCCAGACUAACAAGUUCCUCAGCCUUUUCAUGUCAUCUGUGUCUGCCUGUGAUCCCCCUUGUUCGACAGGAAAUGGUGACGUUUGGUCAGAUGAGCAGUUCUUGAAGCUCCAGCCAGCUCUCCUUUGGCUGUAAUGAAAAUCUGCAGAUCUAGCUUAGAUGUUGUCAGUGAUGCUGCUACACAGUUAGAGGUGAUGAUGCACCCCCUCAUCAGGUCUCCCCUGGCAGUAAACACUCUUAGUCCAAACAUCCUGGCAAGAGACCACAAGCUUUGUGUUAUGGUUCAGGGUUUUUUUUCACUCAGUUUCCUCCACGUGUGUUUAACACAGCCCUUGGUAAAUUGUGAAGCAGCGUGUCAAGCAAAGCUCUACGUCUCUCCUGGAUUCCACCAACUGGAAGGAUGCAGUGGAGUGACUGGGAGAGGUGAGGAUGUGUCUUGAACUGACGCAGGCUGCGGAGAGAUGGAAAGAAAUACAAAAGGGCUGGAAUCUUGGAGAAAGAGUUGGGAAAAGAGAAUCUGCUGUGGGGUAGAGCUGCUAUGAUGGGGAGAUGUCCUGGUUCUCUAGGACACCCGAGGGACUGUGAGCGUGCAAAACUGCUUCUCUGCACCAAGCAGCACCGUGACAAGCACAGGAAGUCUCAGAUCUCACAUUGCAGUUGGUUUCUCAGGGCUGAACAUCUGCAGUGCUGGUCUGGCAGAGCUGGAGCCACCUCUCAAGGCCAUUUCCCUUUGCCUUAACUCAGCAGGAGGAGGUGCAGCACCUUUCCUGCUUCCAGGUGACUUUAUCUUAUGGGUAACAGUCAGUUAUGGAAGAGUCAAUUAUAAUGUGAACGACCCAAACUGAUAAAUCUUAUGCUGUUUCUCCAUCUUAAAAUGUUACGUCCUCUCCAUCUUGAAAUGUCCUCUCCAUCUUGAAAUGUCCUCUCCAUCUUCAAAUGUUCCCUCCCUGAAGAGGUCUUGAUGCAGUAAAAUCAUGGUUUUGUGGCACUGUUUGCAGGCUGACUGCUGGCGUUGUGCAGGCUGCUGCGCUGCUCCGCUGAGUUUGUUUCAUCUACGUGUCAAGAAAAUCACGAGAGCUGCAGGCUGCGCUGCUGAUUUGUAAGGGAAAGCCUUUGGCUCCGGUGGAUGUGACUUUACGGGGAGUCUCUUCUGCGGGAUGACACUUGCAGGUCCAACAUCUCUUGAUGACAUCACC
This is a long non-coding RNA of Calidris pugnax (ruff), 1272 nucleotides long. RefSeq lists it as uncharacterized. The record is from RefSeq and is a predicted model, not a curated record. The transcript is spliced from 3 exons. Lineage: Eukaryota; Metazoa; Chordata; Aves; Charadriiformes; Scolopacidae.